UCAAACUUGGUCAUUUAGAGGAAGUAAAAGUCGUAACAAGGUUUCCGUAGGUGAACCUGCGGAAGGAUCAUUAACGAGUUAGGGUCUCCAAGGCCCGACCUCCCAACCCUUUGUUUACCAAACCAUUUUGUUGCUUCGGCGAGCCCGUCUUCACGGGCCGCCGGGGGACCCCUAACAGAGUCUCCUGGCCCGCGCUCGCCGGUGGCCCCGAUCAAAUUCUUAACUAAACGUGUUUUGACUGAGUACCAAUUUAUUAAAUUAAAAGCAAAACUUUCAACAACGGAUCUCUUGGUUCUGGCAUCGAUGAAGAACGCAGC
This 317-nucleotide unclassified non-coding RNA is filed under the name uncultured fungus. RNAcentral's name for it is "partial contains small subunit ribosomal RNA, internal transcribed spacer 1, and 5.8S ribosomal RNA". The stretch from base 1 to 73 matches the Rfam family "Eukaryotic small subunit ribosomal RNA", at positions 1759 to 1831 of the family's 1831-position model. The record is from RNAcentral. Lineage: Eukaryota; Fungi.